GUGGUAGGGGAGCGUUCUGUAAGCCGAUGAAGGUGUGUUGAGAAGCAUGCUGGAGGUAUCAGAAGUGCGAAUGCUGACGUGAGUAACGACAAAACGGGUGAAAAACCCGUUCGCCGAAAGACCAAGGGUUCCAGUCCAACGUUAAUCGGGGCUGGGUGAGUCGACCCCUAAGGCGAGGCCGAAAGGCGUAGUCGAUGGGAAAAUGGUUAAUAUUCCAUUACUUCUGUGUAAUGCGAUGAGAGGACGGAGAAGGCUAAAUCAGCCUGGCGUUGGUUGUCCAGGUGAAAGGAUGUAGGCAUGUAUCUUAGGCAAAUCCGGGGUACUCUAUGCUGAGAUCUGAUAGCAAGCUGUACUUGUACAGCGAAGUGGUUGAUGCCAUGCUUCCAGGAAAAGUCUCUAAGCUUCAGUUACACAGGAAUCGUACCCGAAACCGACACAGGUGGUCAGGUCGAGUAGACCAAGGCGCUUGAGAGAACUCUGCUGAAGGAACUAGGCAAAAUGGUACCGUAACUUCGGGAGAAGGUACGCUGUUGUUGGUGAUGGAACUCGCUUCCUGAGCUGACGACAGCCGCAGAAACCAGGCCGCUGCAACUGUUUAUUAAAAACAUAGCACUCUGCAAACACGAAAGUGGACGUAUAGGGUGUGAUGCCUGCCCGGUGCUGGAAGGUUAAUUGAUGGGGUUAGCGUAAGCGAAGCUCUUGAUCGAAGCCCCAGUAAACGGCGGCCGUAACUAUAACGGUCCUAAGGUAGCGAAAUUCCUUGUCGGGUAAGUUCCGACCUGCACGAAUGGCAUAAUGAUGGCGGCGCUGUCUCCAGCAGAGGCUCAGUGAAAUCGAAAUCGCUGUGAAGAUGCAGUGUACCCGCGGCUAGACGGAAAGACCCCGUGAACCUUUACUGCAGCUUGACACUGAACUUUGACCUUACUUGUGUAGGAUAGGUGGGAGGCUUUGAAGCUGGAACGCUAGUUCCAGUGGAGCCGUCCUUGAAAUACCACCCUGGUAAUGUUGAGGUUCUAACUCUGUCCCGUGAUCCGGGACGAGGACCGUGUCUGGUGGGUAGUUUGACUGGGGCGGUCUCCUCCUAAAGAGUAACGGAGGAGUACGAAGGUGCGCUCAGCGUGGUCGGAAAUCACGCGUAGAGUAUAAAGGCAAAAGCGCGCUUAACUGCGAGACCCACAAGUCGAGCAGGUACGAAAGUAGGUCUUAGUGAUCCGGUGGUUCUGUAUGGAAGGGCCAUCGCUCAACGGAUAAAAGGUACUCUGGGGAUAACAGGCUGAUACCGCCCAAGAGUUCAUAUCGACGGCGGUGUUUGGCACCUCGAUGUCGGCUCAUCUCAUCCUGGGGCUGAAGCAGGUCCCAAGGGUAUGGCUGUUCGCCAUUUAAAGAGGUACGCGAGCUGGGUUUAGAACGUCGUGAGACAGUUCGGUCCCUAUCUACCGUGGGCGCUGGAAAUUUGAGAGGAUCUGCUCCUAGUACGAGAGGACCAGAGUGGACGAACCUCUGGUGUACCGGUUGUGACGCCAGUCGCAUCGCCGGGUAGCUAUGUUCGGAAGGGAUAACCGCUGAAAGCAUCUAAGCGGGAAGCCUACCUCAAGAUAAGAUUUCCCUAGGACUUUAUGUCCUCUAAAGAGCCGUUCGAGACUAGGACGUUGAUAGGUUGGAUGUGGAAGCAUAGUGAUAUGUGAAGCUGACCAAUACUAAUUGCUCGUGAGGCUUGACUAUACAACACCCAAGCAGUUG
This 1740-nucleotide ribosomal RNA is filed under the name Acinetobacter baumannii. Its description in RNAcentral is "bacterial LSU rRNA". It matches the Rfam family "Bacterial large subunit ribosomal RNA", at positions 1225 to 2925 of the family's 2925-position model. The record is from RNAcentral. Lineage: Bacteria; Pseudomonadati; Pseudomonadota; Gammaproteobacteria; Moraxellales; Moraxellaceae.